AUGAAGAGACUUGACCAAGAAAUAUCAGGAGUCCAGAUCUAUCUCAAUUGCAAGGAAACUAGGCAAAACCAAUGUCUGAUCUUCAUGAAACACUAUUCUAGUGAGAAAUGGAAAGUUGAAGCUGUAAAUUUUGAUUCUGUUUCGCACACAAAAGAAGAUACUGUGAAGUCAUACACCACAAACAUGUUAUCGUCAUCUCUGCAAAAAAAUUUAGCCAUCAUCGAGCAAAUGAUGAUUUCCAGACAUUCUCCACGAAUACACUUAUACAUUCAUCGGAAAAAUAAUGUAAAGAGUUUGGUGCAUAUUGUUGUUUCAAUACAAUCGAGAAAAAUGACAUAUUAUAAGCUACAUCAAAAGGAAGAGAACUCCUACACGAAAACAGUAGCUCUGCAAUCGAUUUGUUUUCUUUUUUGUACAUUGUAUCAUAGAUUCAAAUAG
Molecule: ribosomal RNA, 438 nt
Filed under: Triticum aestivum (bread wheat)
Lineage: Eukaryota; Viridiplantae; Streptophyta; Magnoliopsida; Poales; Poaceae
Description: partial small subunit ribosomal RNA
Source: RNAcentral